This is a long non-coding RNA of Zonotrichia leucophrys gambelii, 790 nucleotides long. RefSeq lists it as uncharacterized. The record is from RefSeq and is a predicted model, not a curated record. NCBI's taxonomy places the organism in Eukaryota, Metazoa, Chordata, Aves, Passeriformes, Passerellidae. The transcript has 8 exons.
GCCUGCUGGAGUGGAAAGGCGGUACUGUGCAUGUGCACUCGACUGAAGCCUUCUGAAAAGGCUGAAGCACAUCCUAGGUCUCCUCCAGCAGUCAAAAUCACAUCUCCUGGGAGUGCAGAGCCACAGAAAGGUGUUUCAAGCAGCAGAUGAUGCAGCCUUAGAUUGUAAAGUGAAAUGACUUCUUCUCCAUCCCACCUUAGAAAUCAGGAGUUGGAAGUGAAAUCUUGGCUUUGCAACUUCCAUGGAAGAGUUGUUGUGACUUGGAUCAUAACCAGGAAAGAGAAACACGGCAGAGUGGAUUUCCAGCAGAGAAUGGGAAGGAGAAGGAGAUGAGAAGUUCUGAAGAGCUUUCGGCAAAGACUGAUUUCUAGCUGCUGCUCCUGGAAAUGAGCUUGCUUGGGGACCUUGCUUUGCACACAGCCCUCCCACCCCAGGCAGUAAAAGGGACAGCACAGAGCCAGGACCUGGUUCACCUCUUCCACAUUUGUUUUCCUAAACAAUGCAACAAUCACUGGAACAAGAGAUCCCGGUACUGAGCUGUGCCCAGAAAAGGUGAAAUGCAGGCAUGACCAGGACAAGUUUCCCCACCUGAAUUGCCACUGUGGUUCAGAAGUUUGGUCUGAGAAUCCCUCCUGAGGUGCUACAAAUAAUUGAAUGUGUGCUGCCUCUAGCACAUGGCCUGAGGGUGAGCUGAGGAAUAUUCCACAGGAGUUAGGAAUGCUGGCUUGGCUAAGUUACCUGCCCAGGGGGAUUUGAGGCCAUGCUCCCACUUCUGAGGAGAGGUCCUGCC